RNAcentral lists this ribosomal RNA (335 nucleotides) under uncultured eukaryote. RNAcentral describes it as "partial 18S ribosomal RNA". It matches the Rfam family "Eukaryotic small subunit ribosomal RNA", at positions 1470 to 1796 of the family's 1831-position model. The record is from RNAcentral.
CCCUUAGAUGUCCUGGGCCGCACGCGCGCUACACUGACAUGUUCAACAAGCCUCCUAGUUCGACAGGAUUUGGGAAAUCUUUGAACGCAUGUCGUGAUAGGGAUAGAUCAUUGCAAUUAUUGAUCUUGAACGAGGAAUUCCCAGUAAGCGCGAGUCAUCAGCUCGCGUUGAUUACGUCCCUGCCCUUUGUACACACCGCCCGUCGCUACUACCGAUUGGAUGGUUUAGUGAGACCCUCGGAUCGGUCCCGACUCGGGGUGGGCUUCUGCCCCGGUCGUGGUUUCGCCGAGAAGACGGUCAAACUUGACUAUCUAGAGGAAGUAAAAGUCGUAACA